This 253-nucleotide ribosomal RNA is filed under the name uncultured bacterium. Its description in RNAcentral is "partial 16S ribosomal RNA". It matches the Rfam family "Bacterial small subunit ribosomal RNA", at positions 524 to 776 of the family's 1533-position model. The record is from RNAcentral.
UACGUAGGGUGCGAGCGUUAAUCGGAAUUACUGGGCGUAAAGAGUGCGUAGGCGGUUUGUCAAGUCCGUUGUGAAAUCCCCGGGCUCAACCUGGGAAUGGCAGUGGAAACUAGGAGACUUGAAUCUGGCAGAGGGGGGUGGAAUUCCACGUGUAGCAGUGAAAUGCGUAGAGAUGUGGAGGAACACCGAUGGCGAAGGCAGCCCCCUGGGCUGAGAUUGACGCUCAGGCACGAAAGCGUGGGGAGCAAACAGG